Long non-coding RNA from Humulus lupulus (European hop), 1383 nucleotides. RefSeq lists it as uncharacterized. The record is from RefSeq and is a predicted model, not a curated record. NCBI's taxonomy places the organism in Eukaryota, Viridiplantae, Streptophyta, Magnoliopsida, Rosales, Cannabaceae. The transcript is spliced from 4 exons.
AUGAAAAUUUUGUCUAACCCAUUUGCCUCCUCUGCCCCUCUCUUUCAGACUCCACUAUCUUUCCUUCUCUCACUCUCUCUCACACUAUGUCUCUAAUCCAUUCAGCCGCUGGAUCACCACGAUCUGUACGAUUCUUGAUGCUCCUUCUCCCUCACGCGAUUUUUGCUGCUCAGUCUCCCCCUUCUCCCUCAUGCAAGUCUUGCUGCUCCUUCUCCUUCACGGCAUUUCUCCUGCUGGAAGCAAAAACCCAGGCAAGAGCACUCUAACCUCGUUUGUCUAUGUGAGCGAUAUACUCGUUCUUGACCGAUUCAUUGAGUGGCGACGAAAUCGUCCGCAAGCCAGCAGAGGAGGCUCUCUCUCAGUGCGAGGCUAGGCCCAGCUUUUGCUCUUGUCUCAUGUGUGGUAUUGCUGCCAACGGUCAAAAACCAAAAACCCUAACUUGGUGUUGGUGAUUGCGUUUUGAGCCACGAACGAGGGGAGGUACUAUACAGUGGAUUGCGGAAACCCUAUUAUUUAGGGGAACCGAAGCUUUUCGAAUUGAAGUUUUACGCAAUGGGAGCUGUUAAGUUGGAACUUCGUUGUCCCCAAACUGUUGAGGGAAUUGCUGCCGACCCUGAACCUGAUUGGAGCUUCAAUGCUCUUUUAACAGAGCUUAAUGCAUUGGAAACAAAACUUAGUAGCUCUUCCAAAGUCCCUUUUAACAGAGCUUAAUGCAUUGGAAACAAAAACAGAGAAUAUGUCUCUUUUCUCACAUACACUAUACAUGUAUAGAUAUGAUAUGAGAUAUGGUUCUUCAUAUCAAGGGACUAGAAAUGUUGUGCAUGCAUUGUUACUAAAAUACACUUUUUGACGGAAGUGUGUAGAAUUUUAUUCUGUUGAGUAUAUAGAAAUCAUGUGGGGAGUUCUUAUAUUGUUCACUAGUCAUUUCAUUAAAUGGUUUAUGUAUAAAACUGCAUCCUAAGAAGCAACUAGAAUGAGGGGUAAAGUGGUAAAAUAAUAGAAUAUAGGUAAUAGAGGGGUAUGUGGGUAACUGUAGUAUGUAGGGCAAAAUAGAAAUAUUGUAUUACACUUGUUUCAAAAAGUUCUCACCCCUUUUCUGGAUUUCUGGAGAAAGAAAAAUUGCAGGUCUCACUUUUCUUGCUCUUUCACUCUUUUCUCUCCAACCAAACUGCCCAUUUUACUCUUUAUGUCUGCUUUUCCCUUUACUUCCUCUUUACCAACUGUUGGAUAAAAAAAUAUAUCCCAUAAACUAGUACAUACGUUUUUUUAGCAAUUUACAUAUGCAGUGUAAUCCUUGGCACUUAAUUUCCUAUUCUUUCUAAAAUGAGAAAACUUGCUUUGUUUUUACUGUGAUGUUUCUACCUUGGCUAACCCCUAUCUGGG